RNAcentral lists this ribosomal RNA (393 nucleotides) under uncultured bacterium. RNAcentral's name for it is "bacterial SSU rRNA". It matches the Rfam family "Bacterial small subunit ribosomal RNA", at positions 28 to 412 of the family's 1533-position model. The record is from RNAcentral.
GAUGAACGCUAGCGGCAGGCUUAAUACAUGCAAGUCGAGGGGCAGCAGGUCCCGCAGCAAUGCGGGAUGCUGGCGACCGGCAAACGGGUGCGGAACACGUACACAACCUUCCUUUAAGCGGGGAAUAGCCCGGGGAAACCCGGAUUAAUACCCCAUAGUAUAUUGAAAAGGCAUCUUUUUAAUAUUAAAGAUUUAUCACUUGAAGAUGGGUGUGCGGCUGAUUAGGUAGUUGGCGGAGUAACGGCCCACCAAGCCUACGAUCAGUAACUGGUGUGAGAGCACGACCAGUCACACGGGCACUGAGACACGGGCCCGACUCCGUACGGGAGCAGCAGUAAGGAAUAUUGGUCAAUGGACGAAAGUCUGAACCAGCCAUGCCGCGUGGAGGAUGAA